GUGAGGAAUAUUGGUCAAUGGGCGAGAGCCUGAACCAGCCAAGUCGCGUGAAGGAAGAAGGAUCUAUGGUUCGUAAACUUCUUUUGCAGGGGAAUAAAGUGCAGGACGUGUCCUGUUUUGUAUGUACCCUGAGAAUAAGGAUCGGCUAACUCCGUGCCAGCAGCCGCGGUAAUACGGAGGAUCCGAGCGUUAUCCGGAUUUAUUGGGUUUAAAGGGUGCGUAGGUGGUUUGAUAAGUCAGCGGUGAAAGUUUGCAGCUUAACUGUAAAAAUGCCGUUGAAACUGUCGGACUUGAGUGUAAAUGAGGUAGGCGGAAUGCGUGGUGUAGCGGUGAAAUGCAUAGAUAUCACGCAGAACUCCGAUUGCGAAGGCAGCUUACUAAGCUACAACUGACACUGAAGCACGAAAGCGUGGGGAUCAAACAGGAUUAGAAACCCCUGUAGUC
Molecule: ribosomal RNA, 444 nt
Filed under: uncultured bacterium
Lineage: Bacteria
Description: partial 16S ribosomal RNA
Rfam family: Bacterial small subunit ribosomal RNA
Source: RNAcentral